This 497-nucleotide ribosomal RNA is filed under the name uncultured bacterium. Its description in RNAcentral is "partial 16S ribosomal RNA". It matches the Rfam family "Bacterial small subunit ribosomal RNA", at positions 28 to 507 of the family's 1533-position model. The record is from RNAcentral.
GAUGAACGCUGGCGGCGUGCCUAAUACAUGCAAGUCGAGCGAACGGACGAGAAGCUUGCUUUUCUGAUGUUAGCGGCGGGCGGGUGAGUAACACGUGGAUAACCUACCUAUAUGACUGGGAUAACUUCGGAAAACCGGAGCUAAUACCGGAUAAUAUUUUGAACCGCAGUGUUCAUAAGUGAAAGACGGUCUUGCUGUCACUUAUAGAUGGAUCCGCGCUGCAUUAGCUAGUUGGUAAGUUAACGGCUUACCAAGGCAACGAUGCAUGGCCGACGUGAGAGAGUGAUCGGCCACACGAGAACUGAGCCACGGACCAGACUCCUACGGGAGGCAGCAGUAGGGAAUCGUCCGCAGUGGGCGAGAGCCUGACGGAGCAGCGCCGAGUGAGUGAUGAAGGUCUUCGGAGCGUAAAACUCUGUUAUUAGGGAAGAACAGAUGUGUAAGUUACUGUGCACAUCGUGACGGUACCUAAUCAGAAAGCCACGGCUAACUACGUG